CAAAAGUAAUUGCUAUUUUUGCAAUUACUUUUAAUGGCAAAGACUGCAAUUACUUUUGCACCAACCUAAU
This 70-nucleotide microRNA precursor is filed under the name Cercocebus atys (sooty mangabey). RNAcentral's name for it is "miRNA (ENSCATG00000017641.1)". Lineage: Eukaryota; Metazoa; Chordata; Mammalia; Primates; Cercopithecidae. The record is from RNAcentral.